GUGAAUCAUCAAAUUUUUGAACGCAAAUUGCACUCUCCGGUUUUCCGGGAGAGUAUGCCUGUUUGCGGGUCAGCCUAAAAAAAAUCGACAUUGUUGCUGUUAUUUAAUGGUGACUUUCGUCGGAGAUUGGGUUAUCUUAAACCUUUUUUUUUUUUUUUGGUUUAAGCGAUUUAAAUUUUUUUUUCCCAUUUCAUUGAAGUUUUUUAAGUUUUUUUUUUUUUUUAGUUU
Molecule: unclassified non-coding RNA, 228 nt
Filed under: Glomeraceae sp.
Lineage: Eukaryota; Fungi; Glomeromycota; Glomeromycetes; Glomerales; Glomeraceae
Description: partial contains 5.8S ribosomal RNA and internal transcribed spacer 2
Rfam family: 5.8S ribosomal RNA (bases 1-72)
Source: RNAcentral